GUUUUUUCUGCUUUACUUUGCACAGAAGCAAGAGAUUCACUUCCGCUUCGUCUGCUUGUUCCCACGGUCGUGCGGUCACAUGCGCAGGUUGCGGCAAACAAGUGCACAUUACAACCGAGGGCAUUCUUCCUUUUUGGUCGCAGAAAGCGGGUGUGCAUUACAAUCUAGUAAAUACGGUAAAUGUUUUC
Molecule: non-coding RNA, 188 nt
Organism: Dermacentor andersoni
Lineage: Eukaryota; Metazoa; Arthropoda; Arachnida; Ixodida; Ixodidae
Source: RefSeq, a predicted model, not a curated record